AAAGACAUUUAUACAAAAGAAAGACGAUUAGACCCUAUUGAACUUAACUGUAGUUAAACUGGGSCAGUAAAUUAAUUAUUAUUUUAAUAAAAUAUUUUAUAUAAAUAUCUAAUAGAAUUAAAUAAUUCAGUUACCAUAGGGAUAACAGCGUAAUAAUUUUCUAAAGAUCUUAUUUAAAAUAUAGAUUACGACCUCGAUGUUGAAUUAAUAACCUAAUUAAGGCAAAACUUAAAAAAGGAAGUCUGUUCGACUUUUAAAAAAUUACAUGAUUUGAGUUCAGACCGGUGUAAGCCAGGUCGGUUUCUAUCUUCUAAAAAAUUUUUUACAGUACGAAAGGACCUAAAA
RNAcentral lists this ribosomal RNA (345 nucleotides) under Habronattus pugillus. RNAcentral's name for it is "partial 16S ribosomal RNA". The stretch from base 18 to 312 matches the Rfam family "Bacterial large subunit ribosomal RNA", at positions 2074 to 2646 of the family's 2925-position model. The record is from RNAcentral. Lineage: Eukaryota; Metazoa; Arthropoda; Arachnida; Araneae; Salticidae.